RNAcentral lists this ribosomal RNA (253 nucleotides) under uncultured bacterium. Its description in RNAcentral is "partial 16S ribosomal RNA". It matches the Rfam family "Bacterial small subunit ribosomal RNA", at positions 524 to 776 of the family's 1533-position model. The record is from RNAcentral.
UACAGAGGGUGCAAGCGUUAAUCGGAAUUACUGGGCGUAAAGCGUGCGUAGACGGUUAUGUAAGUCAGGUGUGAAAGCCCCGGGCUCAACCUGGGAAUUGCAUUUGAGACUGCAUAGCUAGGGUGCGGAAGAGGGAAGCGGAAUUUCCGGUGUAGCGGUGAAAUGCGUAGAUAUCGGAAGGAACAUCAGUGGCGAAAGCGGCUUCCUGGCCCAGCACCGACGUUCAGGCACGAAAGCGUGGGGAGCAAACAGG